GAACUAUUAAAGAAUUUCGGUCAUCGAUGGGGAUGCGUUCCAUUAGGUUGUUGGCGGGGUAACGGCCCACCAAGCCUUCGAUGGAUAGGGGUUCUGAGAGGAAGGUCCCCCACAUUGGAACUGAGACACGGUCCAAACUCCUACGGGAGGCAGCAGUGAGGAAUAUUGGUCAAUGGACGAGAGUCUGAACCAGCCAAGUAGCGUGAAGGAUGACUGCCCUAUGGGUUGUAAACUUCUUUUAUACGGGAAUAAAGUGAGGCACGUGUGCCUUUUUGUAUGUACCGUAUGAAUAAGGAUCGGCUAACUCCGUGCCAGCAGCCGCGGUAAUACGGAGGAUCCGAGCGUUAUCCGGAUUUAUUGGGUUUAAAGGGAGCGUAGGCGGACGCUUAAGUCAGUUGUGAAAGUUUGCGGCUCAACCGUAAAAUUGCAGUUGAUACUGGGUGUCUUGAGUACAGUAGAGGCAGGCGGAAUUCGUGGUGUAGCGGUGAAAUGCUUAGAUAUCACGAAGAACUCCGAUUGCGAAGGCAGCUUGCUGGACUGUAACUGACGCUGAUGCUCGAAAGUGUGGGUAUCAAACAGGAUUAGAUACCCUGGUAGUCCACACAGUAAACGAUGAAUACUCGCUGUUUGCGAUAUACAGUAAGCGGCCAAGCGAAAGCGUUAAGUAUUCCACCUGGGGAGUA
RNAcentral lists this ribosomal RNA (683 nucleotides) under uncultured bacterium. RNAcentral's name for it is "bacterial SSU rRNA". It matches the Rfam family "Bacterial small subunit ribosomal RNA", at positions 195 to 882 of the family's 1533-position model. The record is from RNAcentral.